Molecule: ribosomal RNA, 414 nt
Filed under: uncultured bacterium
Lineage: Bacteria
Description: bacterial SSU rRNA
Rfam family: Bacterial small subunit ribosomal RNA
Source: RNAcentral
CUGGCGGCACGCCUAACACAUGCAAGUCGAACGAAGUAGCAAUACUUAGUGGCAGACGGGUGAGUAACAUGUGGGUAUCUACCCUUUGGCCUGGAAUAACACGAGGAAACUUGUGCUAAUACCGAAUAAGCCCUUACGGGGAAAGUUUUAACGCCGAAAGAUGAGCCUGCACUUGAUUAGCUAGUUGGUAAGGUAAAAGCUUACCAAGGCAACGAUCAAUAGCUGUUCUUAGAGGAAGACCAGCCACAUUGGGACUGAGACACGGCCCAGACUCCUACGGGAGGCAGCAGUGGGGAAUCUUGCACAAUGGGGGAAACCCUGAUGCAGCGAUGCCGCGUGAGUGAAGAAGGCCCUUGGGUUGUAAAACUCUUUCGUCGGGGAAGAAAAUGACUGUACCCGAAUAAGAAGGUCCGG